RNAcentral lists this long non-coding RNA (2962 nucleotides) under Haliotis rubra (blacklip abalone). RNAcentral describes it as "uncharacterized LOC124269843". Lineage: Eukaryota; Metazoa; Mollusca; Gastropoda; Lepetellida; Haliotidae. The record is from RNAcentral.
GGCAUUUUGUCCUCUGUUCAUAUUUAGGACUGAAACAUGUUUAUAAGAUCAUAAUGUCUCACUACAGUACACCCUGCCUGAAAUAAUGGUUGUGCCAAAAGUACCUACGGAUGUAGACAAUCAGUCAGCGUACCUCUUGAUCUUUACUAUUCUUUACACAGAAUAAGUCAAUUCAUCUAUGUUCCAUGCGAAUCACAUCCAUGGACAGUGAAUGUUCACAUAUACCAUUAACAGUUUGUUAAAUGAAAUAACCAAAAUAUGUAGAAUAUCAAAACUUGCCUCUUCUCAAUACUUUAGACAAGUGUGGUUAAAAAUCAAAUAAUUAUUAUAUUGCGGCCUUAAACAGCCAUUGCAUUGGAGGUGAAAGGAAGCCCCGAAAGUUAAUAUUUUGUGUUGGGAAAGUAUGGUAUUUAAUGAAAGGUUAUGAAGAAAAAGGACAAGCAUUUGGGGAAGGUCACCCAAUUUUGUGAAAAUUAUAUAUUUUUUACAUCAGUGGAAAAAAAAAAUCACAUUCAACACUAGUUUGAAGACAUCAGUGGAAACAAAAUGACAUUUGAAGACCAAUUUGCUGAUAUUUAAUACAUUGUGAACUGAUGUUGGUCACUGUAAAAGUGGGCAUUAAAGGUGUUCCGGGAUAUUUUUGAAUGCAGGGUGAAUUGCUGUUGAAGAUGUAUCAGUAGAACUCACACUGGUUCAUUGAAACAUUUGUCUGGUUUUGACACAUUUCAGAUGAAGCUUCUAUUAUGUAAUAGUUGAAUAUAUAUACGAUAAUAGAUAUGAUACAUCCAUGGUUUGUACUUUUUAUGGAGUGGUCAGAUGGUCGAAGAGGGGACUCCAUAUACAGCUAUUAAAACUGGGACAUCUUCUACCCUGUCCACAAGCCAACCCUUCUUUGAGCUUCUCUAAUCAUAGGCAUGAAAACCUGCCUUAUAUACAGAGAUAUACGGUAACCCUACUGCCAUAUCAAUGUCAUAUCAUUGCUAGAUCUCAAACAAUCUCACAUAUCAAAACUUCAAUUCAAACAAUACAGAAUCAAAUGAAUUGUGGAAUGACAUUUAUUUUAACUUUGAAUGUUAUGUUUUAAGAACAGGUGCCAGAACCUGUAGCUAUCUUGACAUGUCUGCUAUUACCCUGGCACUGAUGCAUGCUGGGAAAGUUAGGAGGACAACAUGGGAGGUAACUCUGAGUAUUGUUGCUUUAUACAAACGUCUUCAAACAAGGUGUAUAUGGGGUAAGAGUGAGUUGUGGAGUGGAAAGGUCAUUUGUACUUCAUUUAUCUCUCUAUCAAUACUGAUAAAUUGUGAUGGGCGUGUUCAAUCAAAUAUCAACUGUUGAUAGUUGUAGUGCAUUGACAAUUGCAAUUGUUCUGCCCUAAUUAGCAUACAAUAUAGGUAUAACGAAAUGUGUUUGUUGUUUAGAGACAUGAGGGAAGAACAGUAUGUGUCCUGCAUGCUCAUGUUAGUAAAAUACUGUACAAUGAGAGUAUUAUAGGCUUUAUAGAAGUUAGAUGUAACCAUGACAAGGACUUAUAGAGAUGUCAAGAGUGAGUAGCCCUGAAACAUAGUGUAUGAUGAUGUUGUUAUCCCCAAUACUCCUUGUCAAAAUACUUAACAUCGGAACAUCUUGGUAAACAGCAUGUGAUCCACUUCUGUAAGAAUAUCUGUGUAUGUAUAAACUAAGGGACCGUUCAUAAUUUAUGGCUGUGAGUGGAUGGGGUGGUGAUGAUGAUUUUAAGGGAGGUUCUGUUGAGGUAGGGGGGUCAUCAAUUUUUUACACAUGUACUAUGGGGGUCAGUAACAAUGUACAAAGAAUUAUUGAAACAUUAUGCUUAAAAAAUAUGGGAAGGGGGGGGGGAUUGAUUUUGUACAUGACAUGCAGGAGGGUCACUUACUCUGUACAUAAAUUUUAGGGGGGGUCAUUCACAUUGUACAUGCUUGUCCAUAAAAAUCAUCACACACACACACACCCAUACCCCACCAGCCAUAAAUUACGGUCCCUAACAUGAUGUCAAAGAUUGUGUUAUGGUUGGAGUGCCAACAAUAUAGCAAAGCAUAUUGAAUAAAGCCAACAUAUAUUUUAUAACUGUAGUCACGGAAUCAAAAUAGUUGUCUCAUGAAUGAUGAUGGGUGAUAUUGAGAAGAAUGGUUGCCAUAUGAUCUCAUGUUUGGAUGUGUAAUAUAUUAUAUUCGGUGUAAUUUGAAGAGCAAGUUGUAGCUGGAAUUUAAUGCCUGGGAAGUCAUGUCCAGGACAUUUUUAAAGUUAACAAAAUGCAAUAUACUACUUUUUGAGAUGUAUACAAAGAUUGUUCAUUCUAUUUACACAAUAGUUUAGUUUGGUACAGUUUGGUGUACUAUAAAAUGAGUAAACCUUAUCAAAAGUUGAGUAGCAUACAUUGUGUUUUGUUACACCAUAUUUUUCACAAAGCAGUUGAAGAACUUUCACUUCCAAAUAUUGGGCAUGGAUGCUCAUUCACAGGUGCUGCAAUUCCCUGUGCAGAGUUGUCUCCCUUGGCCAUGCCAAAUCCUAUGAUCGUUAGUUUGAAUCCCAGUUCUGCCCAAAUUGUGUCAGCACAUAUCUUUUCCCAUUUGUUUCGCCGGAGUUGUAAAUAUGUGAGACCUACAUAAAUCACACAGGCUAUCUUCCCACAAUAAGCUUACAUGCCAGGACAAAACUGGAAUACGGAAAGAGGCGUUAAGCCGAACUCACUCAUUUCAAAAGGCACAAGAAUUUUGCUUUCUAUUGUUUUCAUGGUUUGCAAGAUGUAACAGAUCAUUCAUUACUGAAACAUCAAAGCAUGAGUGUUAUUGUUGGCGUGUGUGAGUUGAUGACUUCAGCCCUGUCUCUGCUGCACACCAGGAUGAUUGUAUGAUAGUAUCUGCCUGGAAUGCUUUUUGAAUGGAGGCCCUGUGUCAACUUGUCACAAAUAUCACUGUUUCUACUUAUUAAAAGGUUUACAAGUUCA